GAUGAACGCUGGCGGCGUGCCUAAUACAUGCAAGUCGAGCGAACAGAUGAGGAGCUUGCUCCUCUGACGUUAGCGGCGGACGGGUGAGUAACACGUGGAUAACCUACCUAUAAGACUGGGAUAACUUCGGGAAACCGGAGCUAAUACCGGAUAAUAUAUUUAACCGCAUGGUUCAAUAGUGAAAGACGGUUUUGCUGUCACUUAUAGAUUGAUCCGCGCCGCAUUAGCUAGUUGGUAAGGUAACGGCUUACCAAGGCAACGAUGCGUAGCCGACCUGAGAGGGUGAUCGGCCACACUGGAACUGAGACACGGUCCAGACUCCUACGGGAGGCAGCAGUAGGGAAUCUUCCGCAAUGGGCGAAAGCUUGACGGAGCAACGCCGCGUGAGUGAUGAAGGUCUUCGGAUCGUAAAACUCUGUUAUUAGGGAAGAACAAAUGUGUAAGUAACUAUGCACGUCUUGACGGUACCUAAUCAGAAAGCCACGGCUAACUACGUG
Molecule: ribosomal RNA, 497 nt
Filed under: uncultured bacterium
Lineage: Bacteria
Description: partial 16S ribosomal RNA
Rfam family: Bacterial small subunit ribosomal RNA
Source: RNAcentral